AACUAAUGAAACCCUUACUUUAAUAAAUACAUUUAACUUAUGAAAAAAAUUAACCAAUUGACAUUUUAAUUUCAUGUAUAGGAUCAGCAAUCCUUCAAUUUUAACCUACUUACUGGGACUUCUAGGGGUCCAUAGAGAUAUCCCUCUACUCGUGGACCCUAGUAUCAAGGUUGACAAUUAACCCGACUGUCCCCUUACUCCAUCCGGCAAUGGGAGCCAAAAAUAUCAUCGCCUCGAUACCCCGUCCAGUAUGAGAGUGAACUGUAUCUCCCAAAACUCUUCUAGUAUAAAAUUUUUCAGCUCUGUCUGACUAAGGUAAUGUCCACAAUAGUAUUUUUUAUGUAC
RNAcentral lists this long non-coding RNA (345 nucleotides) under Carica papaya (papaya). RNAcentral's name for it is "long non-coding RNA (CPAP_LNC009244)". Lineage: Eukaryota; Viridiplantae; Streptophyta; Magnoliopsida; Brassicales; Caricaceae. The record is from RNAcentral.